UUUGGUACCAGGGAUCGAACUCGGGAAUUUGAGCUUGCCAGGCAGGCGCGGUGCCACGGAGCUAAAUCUCCGACCCGUAGAGGCCUUUCUAAAAGAAGAGCGUCGUAUCCGGAAGUUUUCCAGGAGUGCUCCAUAGCCGGAACAGUGGAUCCAGGAAUCUGGGUCUCGCUCCGUUGUUUCUGGGUCUUGAGAAAGGAAGUGCAGCCCUCUGGCUCCUCACUGUUGCUUCUCUAGUUUUCUAGCUCCUUUUAGAAAAUUGAGUUUGGAUGCAACAUGUCAAGACAAUCCUUUAAGAAGUGUGGCUGUAAAGGAAAAGAGAAAGGUCAGUGCCUGAAGAGAAUGGCAAGUGAAGAAAUUGGAAGAUUUCUUUAUGGAAGAGUGACCUACUGUUUAUUAAUACAACAGAAAAAAAGUUGAUACUUGCGGUGGUUAUUCAUUGUCAACAAAAGAAUUAAAACCCUCAGCAGCAAAAUUCCUCAUUAAAGCAAUCCUGCCCAGCGAGUACUAAGCAGUCAUAAGAUAAUGCACUGUGAGGAAGAAAUAAAUGAUCUUGUCAAGUUGCACCUUUAAUGUACAACUUUAGAUAUGAUGCAGGUGUUCCUGAAAGAUUAACAAGGAAGAAGAUGCCCUGGAAAAUGCAUUUCUGAGACAUCUACAUUUGCUGACUCAGACCCUUUCCUAUUUCCUCAAUAUAAAGACGCCAGCUUCUCCCCGUGACAGAGCAAUUCCUCCCUUGGGAACUUACCCACCAUCCCUCUUGACAUUGUUUUCUGAUCUAAGUAAACUCUUGCCUUUAUUUUUA
Heterocephalus glaber (naked mole-rat) is the source of this 802-nucleotide long non-coding RNA. RefSeq lists it as uncharacterized. The record is from RefSeq and is a predicted model, not a curated record. Lineage: Eukaryota; Metazoa; Chordata; Mammalia; Rodentia; Bathyergidae.